RNAcentral lists this ribosomal RNA (835 nucleotides) under uncultured Caldisericota bacterium. RNAcentral's name for it is "bacterial SSU rRNA". It matches the Rfam family "Bacterial small subunit ribosomal RNA", at positions 55 to 875 of the family's 1533-position model. The record is from RNAcentral. Lineage: Bacteria; Pseudomonadati; Caldisericota.
AUGCAAGUCGAACGCGAAAGUCCCGCAAGGGAUAAGUAGAGUGGCAGACGGGUGAGUAAUGCAUAGGUAAUCUACCCUUGAGUGGGGAAUAACUCCGGGAAACCGGUGCUAAUCCCGCAUAAUGUCCCGGCUCACAGGCGUCGGGAUCAAAGGGGGGGAUCCUUCGGGACCUCCUGCUUGAGGAUGAGCCUAUGUCCUAUUAGCUAGUUGGUGAGGUAAUGGCCCACCAAGGCGAUGAUGGGUAGCCGAGCUGAGAGGCUGAUCGGCCACACUGGAACUGAAACACGGUCCAGACUCCUACGGGAGGCAGCAGUGGGGAAUUUUGCGCAAUGGGCGAAAGCCUGACGCAGCGACGCCGCGUGAGGGAUGAAGGUCUUAGGAUUGUAAACCUCUGUCAGGAAGCAUUAAAUGUACGGAUGCCAACACCAUCCGUGCUUGACUUAACUUCCAGAGGAAGCCCCGGCUAACUACGUGCCAGCAGCCGCGGUAAUACGUAGGGGGCAAGCGUUACUCGGAUUUAUUGGGCGUAAAGAGAAUUAAGGCGGUCAUGUAAGUCAGUGGUGAAAUCCCCCGGCUCAACUGGGGAAUUGCCUUUGAUACUGCGUGACUCGAGGACAAGAGAGGAAGGCGGAAUUCCCGGUGUAGCGGUGGAAUGCGUAGAUAUCGGGAGGAACACCUGAGGCGAAGGCGGCUUUCUGGACUGGUCCUGACGCUGAUAUUCGAAAGCUAGGGGAGCAAACAGGAUUAGAUACCCUGGUAGUCCUAGCUGUAAACGAUGGAUACUAGAUCUUGCAUGAUUUUGCUUGGUCGAGCUACGCGUUAAGUAUCCCGCCUG